Molecule: long non-coding RNA, 1030 nt
Organism: Lynx canadensis (Canada lynx)
Lineage: Eukaryota; Metazoa; Chordata; Mammalia; Carnivora; Felidae
Exons: 3
Source: RefSeq, a predicted model, not a curated record
UCAGCCAAGCCGGGAGAGGACAGCAGCCCCAGCUGUCAACUUCACCGUAAUCUCUGAAGAGACUGAGCCAGACCCACCCAGCUGAGGCAUCCGAGACUCCAGACCCUCACACACUGUGAGACCAUUAUUUAUAUAUGUAUAUGUGUGUGUAUAUAUCAUAUAUCAUAUAUAUAUAAUCAUAUAUACGAGCGUAUCAUCUAUACUACAUUCCUCUCUGUUCUGUACUUUCCUUUGUUUUCGCCUAACGUUAUAUUUUGCUUUCUUUUUAUUACCAUGGUUUCUCAUACUUUAAACAACUAUAUAAUAUUCCAUUCUAUAAAUUUGCCAUAAUUUAUUUAACCGGUCCACCACUGAUAGGCAGUUUGUCUUCAGUCUUUUGCUACUGUGAUAGGGUGAGUAAACACAUGUCAACAGCUUAAUCCCCCGAACCUGUGAAUGUGUCCCCUUUCGUGACCAAACGGGCUCUGCAGCUGUGAUUAAGUUAAGGGUGGCGGAAAGGGGAGAGUAGCCUGUAUUACCCAGGUGGCCCCCAUGUAACCAAUCACAAGAGUCCUUUUUUUUAAAAGGGAGGCAGGAGCUCUAGAGUCAGGAUGAAGGUGUGAGCGGCGCUUCGGGUGAUAGAAGGUUGGAACCAGAGAAUGUGGGUAUCCCCCGGAAGCUGGAAAAGGCUCGGAAAUGUACUCUCCCCUAGAACCUCCGGAAAGAACAAGCCUUUGAUUUUAGCUUGGCGAGACCCAUUGUGGACUUCUGGCCUCCAGAGCUGUAAGCAGUUGAAAAACCCUAAUUUCUUUGAACGAGCUAAUUAUUACUACGUACUCCUCAUCUGCACACCAUAUUUAGAAUCUCCGUCAGAGACAGGGGUACAACAGGAUGAAGCCUUUUAAGAGAAACCCAUGACUUCUGUCCUCUUGUCAUUCUGAAUCGGUGGCAGUUAAUACCCCACGAAGACUCUGAAGAUAGACUGGCUCUUCUCCAUCCUUUUCUGAUCGCGUGUGCCCACUUUCUGAUGGUCUCUUAUUCCACGCGAGAC